GCUGAAGAACGUAGCGAAAUGCGAUAAGUAAUGUGAAUUGCAGAAUUCAGUGAAUCAUCGAAUCUUUGAACGCACAUUGCGCCCGCCAGUAUUCUGGCGGGCAUGCCUGUUCGAGCGUCAUUUCAACCAUCAAGCCCCCGGCUUGUGUUGGGGACCUGCGGCUGCCGCAGGCCCUGAAAAGCAGUGGCGGGCUCGCUGUCACACCGAGCGUAGUAGCAUACAUCUCGCUCUGGGCGUGCUGCGGGUUCCGGCCGUUAAACCACCUUCAUAACCCAAGGUUGACCUCGGAUCAGGUAGGAAGACCCGCUGAACUUAAGCAUAUCAAUAAGCGGAGGA
This 336-nucleotide unclassified non-coding RNA is filed under the name soil metagenome. RNAcentral describes it as "partial contains 5.8S ribosomal RNA, internal transcribed spacer 2, and large subunit ribosomal RNA". The stretch from base 3 to 120 matches the Rfam family "5.8S ribosomal RNA", at positions 37 to 154 of the family's 154-position model. The record is from RNAcentral.